GCCUGGGUGGCUCAGUCAGUUGAGCAUCUGACUUCUGCUCAGGUCAUGAUCUCAUGGUUCGUGGGUUCAAUCCCCACAUCAGGCU
RNAcentral lists this transfer RNA (85 nucleotides) under Felis catus (domestic cat). It matches the Rfam family "tRNA". Rfam says of the family: Transfer RNA (tRNA) molecules are approximately 80 nucleotides in length. Their secondary structure includes four short double-helical elements and three loops (D, anti-codon, and T loops). Lineage: Eukaryota; Metazoa; Chordata; Mammalia; Carnivora; Felidae. The record is from Rfam by way of RNAcentral.